CACCAAUCCAGACAAAAUAGAUGCAACUGGAAAUUUAAGAGCAGCAAAUAAAGCAUACAUCAGGCAGGUCCAUUCAUUUUAGCUAUACAUCAAAUCCCAUGACGUUCCACUCUGGACCAACAUUCUACACCUAAUAAGUAUUUCCAUCCCUGCUAGGAGUGUAGUUCUCGCUCUGAUAGUUUGGCAUAUUCCCAGCAUCUCUUUGAGGCGCGGUAUUGGACCAUCCUUGAGUCUGUGAAAAGCCUCCCACAUUCUGAGCAGCCCCCAUGUCCCGCGGUGGCAUUCCACCCAUUUGGGGGGGCAUUCCUCCCAUGUUGUUCUGGGGUCGCAUUCCCCCCAUGUUCUGGUGAGGCAUCCCACCCAUGUUGUUUGGCGGCAUUCCACCCUGGUUACGUGGAGGCAUCCCACCAUAGUUGUGUGGGGGCAUUCCACCUUGGUUGUGUGGGGGCAUUCCGCCAAAGUUGGUCGGUGGGGGCAUGUUGCCUUGAGGCGAAGGAUUCUGCAUCCCUUGGUUUGGCAUGUCCCUGGCUUGGAAAUUUCUAUUCUGCAUAUUCUCCCUCCUCCCGUCAAAGUUCCUUGAUCUGCCGAAAUUACGGCGGCGUGGAUCAUUAUUACGCCUGUUCCUCUCAUUAGCUCUAGCAUUAUUUCUCACCCAUUCUUCAUGGUACUUGGGGUCAUAAGGAACUGCUUGCCCAUUAAUAAAAGGUUCACCUGACAUAUGCGAAAAAAAAAAAAAAAAAAAAAAGUACAUUCCAUAAGAGAUUGAAUGAAAAAGAGACGCGAAUUUCACGAUGGGAUAUACCAAAUUCCAUUCGAUUUGAGACUAUGAUAUAUGGCUUCUAAUGAACAGUAAAUCCAAAAAAGUAAAAUAGAAUAAAGAUAUGUCUUGAUUAAGCAGCUGCAGUGCAUAAGAAGAUGAUAAUAAUUACCUACAGUAACCAAAGGAAUGACAUGGAGCGAUUACCUAUCACAAGACUAACUAGGCCUCAUGCCGUUACAUAAACUCAUGACUCGUUCAUAUGGUAACCAUGAAGGUGAAUCCUAACUGAACUUUUUCUCUUUCUAAACAUGUUUUAAUUAAGCAAACCUUUUAAAGAGCAAUAUCUAUCCAAAUCAGUCAAGAACAAAACCGAAGCAUCACAAUUGCCUCAUCAUGAGGUCAACAAGCAGCGAAAUCAAAACUUUAGCGGCAGUUUUCAUAAAUAAAAGGAUGUAAUCUACAGGAUGCAAAAGCCACCGCAUAAUUAGAAGAUCAAGCUUCCAUACCCCCAUAAUCCUUAUUCUUAACAUCCAGGUAUGAAUCAGGAAGAACCCAUCGAACUCUGGGCAGUUCUGUGUAACAAAACAGAACUCAUUAGCACCACUUCCCAAAAAGAGAAACAAAAGAAAACCAAAGAAGAAGAUUUACCCUUAAGUUUGUAAGAAAGCUCUUCAGAUACAAGGGCUCCAAAUGCGAAGUAGUGCCUUGUUGAAACUGAGUAGAUCUUCAUUCUGGCUUCUCCUUCACUGUAAUAGCAAGUUCAAAAUCAUGGUUAGACAAAAUAAAAGGGACAGCAAUAAAUAAAGAUGAUCGAUGACAACAGGCAAGUACUAUAACUUCGAGAAACAUUAGAAAAAAAAAAUUGAGACACCAGCCAAACUUUUGCUUCUAUAUCCGCCAAGAUAUUAUUCAUAAGCAUCCUCAUAGUUACUUUAAUACUAGCGAUGAUAUUGUACUGAAGACCAAUACCAAGAAGUGCUCACUUCACAUGAAAGGGAAAUAUGAGCAUAUGGCAAAAUGAAAGAAAAAAGUAAUAACCCCGAUCAUCCCUACAUGUCAAAACCAAUUCUAGAUCAAAGCACAGCAUCAAUCUUGCCACAUAAAGUGGCAAUAAAGAAUCGCCUUUGAGAUCAAACACUUGAUAGAGACAGCAUAAUAAUCACCGCAAAAGAAAGAUUACGAUCUGAUUGAGAGUUUACUUAAACCACAGCCGAGAGACCAAAAAAUUAAUAAAUUAUUCAUUAUUCUUGGCCGGAACCAAAAAAUAUAUAUAUAUCCACAGCAAGCCUUUGCGUCAUCGUAUGUUUAUGAGAAGACCACAAACUCAAUCCACUGACCUGCCUACAACCUGCGCGAGCGUCUUAAUAUAACUAUGGAUGAUCUCAUCCCUAGGAGGAUCGCCCUCGGGCUUCUCCAUCACCACGAGCCAGUGCUCGAAGUCGCAACCGUCGAGAAGUAUCGUCUCCUUCGGGGGACGGUUUGACCAGUUGGGGUUCGGAUCGUUGAGCGAAGACGAGGUCGACCUCGUCCGGAAGGAGCGGGCGGACGGGGCGGCAGCAACCGCCGCGGACGCCGAGGAGAGGGGGCGGAGGCGGUGGCGGAGGAGGGAGGAGAGAGGGGAGCGAGGCGCGGAGGCGGCGGGAGCGGAGGAGGAGGAGAGGGAGCGGGAGAGGAGGGAGGCGAGGGAUUGCCGAGGCUUGGAGGAGAGCAGGAUGGAACGGGUGAAGAGCUGAGUCGCCAUGGUAGGGGUUUUGGAUGCACUCUAAAACCCUGAAGAAGAUGACUGAUAUAUAUAAACUCCGUUCGUAGGUUCUACGGUAAAUAAUUUAUAAAGAAACGUUUUUCAAAUUUUUUGGGAUUCGUUUUUUAUUUAGAAAAAAUAUUUACAAUGAAAAAAAAAUCUUUUAAAUCAAGGAAAAAUAUUUUCACUGAUCUCCUCCCCAUGCCUAGGAACCCUCACUUCCUACUCCCCCUCCUUUUUUCCUUUCAAGUUCAUAUCAUUUUUCAGCCUCAAGCUUCGCCACAUCAUACGUAAUACAAUUGAAUUGUCAAAACAAAAAGCCUUGAGCUUAACGCUCAUGCUUGUCGAUCUAGCAAGUGGUGACUGGUGAGCUUGAGCUCACCAAUGGUGGGCAAGCCUCAACGCUAGCCUGUGGCUAGUCGUCGGCCAUUGCCAUGCCGCCCAAGAAGAAGAAGAGGAAAACAAAAAAAAUGAAAAAUGAAAAAAAAAAAUGUAAUACUUUAAUUAUUGAUUUUAAAAAAAUGAAAAUUCGAUUUUAAAAAAUAAAAUAAAUGAAAAAGAGUGUAUGGAGAAAAAGAUUUUCCUUAUCCAAUAGCGAGAAAACACCACAUUUUUCGCAGAAUAAAUAGGUCCGAAAAUCACAAGAUCUCUUCGAGAGAUUUUAUGUCGAGGGAUCCCUAGAUAGCCCCAGGUUAUGAGGUAUUCAAAAUUACAUGGGCUGCACUUUACCUUAAUGAUAAUCCAUGGAUCAUAUGCACAAUCAUUUGACAGUUAGAUUAUGAGGUAUUCUCAUGACGAGGCUGAAAAGAUCGGAGAUUUUAAUCGAACAAUUCUGUCACGGAUCGAGUUUACACAAGUAUAUGCUCCUAUUACAUUUAAGAAAACAUUUUACAGGCCACGGCACAUAUACACCGCCUCACCAUAACAGAAGCCUUACGUAUGUACCAAGUUUCCACCUUAUUGUCUGGAAGACAAAAACAUAUUCAGCCCCUUUUGUUCGCUUCAAAGCUGGAACAGCACAUAAGCGUGCAACUCUUCUUCUCCAGCGCCGAGUUCUCUCCUCGUUCGUCCUCUUGGACCACCGAACCCAGCUCCACAUUGGAGAAGCAAAGCCAGAGGCAGCUCCGGCGCUUGCUCCUCAUCUUCUUUAUUAUCGACAUCUGAGCAUCUUUCGCGGCGAGCUCAUAGCCUUUUUGGCCGAUCCCCAUUGGAUAUGUGCUUUCUAGCGUGAGCAAGUGUGAUGGAUCGAGAGCAGCGCUUAUCUACGAUCUAUGUCGCGCAGAUGAGAAGGGAGAGUUGACCAAGGAAAACUCGUUUACCGCUCAAGAACUUCUCAUGUCACGGUUGAAGUUAAUAUCUGAAUAGCCAAGGCUGCAGCAAUCCUUUGUGCUUCAUGCCGGCGUUGCCCGUCCGGAAGGCAAAGAAUGUCAUUGCACUGGCCGAUCCGCAGUGAUUGGGUUAUUGUCAAUUGAGUUUUGCAGUUAUUGCCAUGUAGUCAAUAGAUAUUAUAAGGUCAUCCUAAGCCGAGAAAAUUAACUAUUAAUCGAUGCAUAUAAUCGCAUUGUGAAUGGUGAUUUCUUGUAAGGCACAGUGCAAUUCCCAAUCGGUAAAGGCACCCUCAUAUAGUUGGUGAAGUCAAGGAAGAAAAUUGAGACCACUAACUAAAAUUUGGCCAUACAAUGAAGGACAUGCUUCGGCUCUCUCAUCUCCUCAAGGCCCUACAUACACUGCCCUCCUUCUAGGUAAAUAUAUGCCAUCCUAUCGGAUCAAGAAAAUCUAAAUAUACACAUCAUCCUCUCUGUUCCGUUCUAAGGCCUUGUUAUGUACGUCUUCUGACAAGAAACACACACUUCCUUUGUAUGCAAGAGCAAGAGAAUUGGAAUAUUUGAGAACCACACAGAGGAAAACUGAUAGCUUAACAAAAAAAUACAACAGUAUCAACGGCUGUGUCUCCCACAAAACGAAUACAGCCAUUGAAAGUAAAAAGUCACUGAGAAUCCGAGCAAUGAGAAGAAGUUACAUAGAGGAUUUCAUGAGAUGAAAAGUUAUACUCAAUUGCAAAAGUGCAAUGUAGACACCUCCUGACCAUAGCCAUCUCUUAGUUUCUCGAUGCUACCUCGUUGAUUACACCAUUCUGCAAUGUCCCUAGCAUUGAGUAGGCAGCGAUAUUAGACUCAUGCACCAAUCCAGACAAAAUAGAUGCAACUGGAAAUUUAAGAGCAGCAAAUAAAGCAUACAUCAGGCAGGUCCAUUCAUUUUAGCUAUACAUCAAAUCCCAUGACGUUCCACUCUAGACCAACAUUCUACACCUAAUAAGUAUUUCCAUCCCUGCUAGGAGUGUAGUUCUCGCUCUGAUAGUUUGGCAUAUUCCCAGCAUCUCUUUGAGGCGCAGUAUU
RNAcentral lists this long non-coding RNA (4897 nucleotides) under Eucalyptus grandis. RNAcentral's name for it is "long non-coding RNA (EGRA_LNC003608)". Lineage: Eukaryota; Viridiplantae; Streptophyta; Magnoliopsida; Myrtales; Myrtaceae. The record is from RNAcentral.